GUGAUANCUUUCAAUUCAGAGAAACCCUGGAAUUAAAAAUGGGCAAUCCUGAGCCAAAUCCCAUUUUCCAAGAACAAACAAGGGUUCAGAAAGCGAAAAAAGGGAUAGGUGCAGAGACUCAAUGGAAGCUGUUCUAACAAAUGGAGUUGACUGCCUUUUUUUUUUGGUAAAGAAAGAAAGUAAAAUGAAUCCUUCUAUCCAAUAUCGAAACUACAUAAAGGAUGAAGGAUAAGUGUAUAUACCUAUGUAUACGCAAUUCAAAACUAUCUCAAAAAUGACAACCGAAUCUGUAUUUCUUUUUAUGAAAAAGAAAAGAAUUCUUAUGAAUCGAUUCCAAUCCAAGUUGAAGAAAGAAUCAAAUAUUCAUUGAUCAAAUCAUUCACUCCAUAGUCUGAUCGAUCUUUUAUUUUGACUUUUGAAGAACUGAUUAAUCGGACGAGAAUAAAGAUAGAGUCCCAUUCUACAUGUCAAUAUCAAUACGGGCAACAAUGAAAUUUAUAGUAAGAGGAAAAUCCGUCGACUUUAGAAAUCGUGAGGGUUCAAGUCCCUCUA
Molecule: non-coding RNA, 552 nt
Filed under: Spathelia brittonii
Lineage: Eukaryota; Viridiplantae; Streptophyta; Magnoliopsida; Sapindales; Rutaceae
Description: partial transfer RNA-Leu
Rfam family: Group I catalytic intron (bases 1-477)
About the family: Group I catalytic introns are large self-splicing ribozymes. They catalyse their own excision from mRNA, tRNA and rRNA precursors in a wide range of organisms. The core secondary structure consists of 9 paired regions (P1-P9).
Source: RNAcentral